This 434-nucleotide ribosomal RNA is filed under the name uncultured Clostridium sp. RNAcentral describes it as "partial 16S ribosomal RNA". It matches the Rfam family "Bacterial small subunit ribosomal RNA", at positions 341 to 792 of the family's 1533-position model. The record is from RNAcentral. Lineage: Bacteria; Bacillati; Bacillota; Clostridia; Eubacteriales; Clostridiaceae. RNAcentral also lists the same sequence under 1 other name.
ACGGAAGGCAGCAGUGGGGAAUAUUGCACAAUGGGCGAAAGCCUGAUGCAGCGACGCCGCGUGAGUGAAGAAGUAUCUCGGUAUGUAAAGCUCUAUCAGCAGGGAAGAAAAUGACGGUACCUGACUAAGAAGCCCCGGCUAACUACGUGCCAGCAGCCGCGGUAAUACGUAGGGGGCAAGCGUUAUCCGGAUUUACUGGGUGUAAAGGGAGCGUAGACGGUUUGGCAAGUCUGAAGUGAAAUGCGGGGGCUCAACUCCUGAACUGCUUUGGAAACUGUCGAACUAGAGUGCAGGAGAGGUAAGUGGAAUUCCUAGUGUAGCGGUGAAAUGCGUAGAUAUUAGGAGGAACACCAGCGGCGAAGGCGGCUUACUGGACUGUAACUGACGUUGAGGCUCGAAAGCGUGGGGAGCAAACAGGAUUAGAUACCCUGGUA